RNAcentral lists this ribosomal RNA (921 nucleotides) under uncultured bacterium. RNAcentral describes it as "bacterial SSU rRNA". It matches the Rfam family "Bacterial small subunit ribosomal RNA", at positions 33 to 947 of the family's 1533-position model. The record is from RNAcentral.
ACGCUAGCUACAGGCUUAACACAUGCAAGUCGAGGGGCAGCAUGGAAGAAGCUUGCUUCUUCUGAUGGCGACCGGCGCACGGGUGCGUAACGCGUAUCAAACCUGCCUCAUACUCGGGGAUAGCCUUGCGAAAGUAAGAUUAAUACCCGAUGUUGUUAUGUUUCCGCAUGGUGAUAUAACCAAAGAUUUAUCGGUAUGAGAUGGUGAUGCGUCCGAUUAGGUAGUAGGCGGGGUAACGGCCCACCUAGCCAUCGAUCGGUAGGGGUUCUGAGAGGAAGGUCCCCCACACUGGAACUGAGACACGGUCCAGACUCCUACGGGAGGCAGCAGUGAGGAAUAUUGGUCAAUGGACGGAAGUCUGAACCAGCCAAGUAGCGUGCAGGAUGACAGCCCUCCGGGUUGUAAACUGCUUUUAGUUGGGAAUAAAAAGAGGGACGUGUCCCUCAUUGUAUGUACCUUCAGAAAAAGGACCGGCUAAUUCCGUGCCAGCAGCCGCGGUAAUACGGAAGGUCCAGGCGUUAUCCGGAUUUAUUGGGUUUAAAGGGAGCGUAGGCGGAUUAUUAAGUCAGUGGUGAAAGACGGUGGCUCAACCAUCGUUAGCCAUUGAAACUGGUAGUCUUGAGUGCAGACAGGGAUGCUGGAACUCGUGGUGUAGCGGUGAAAUGCUUAGAUAUCACGAUGAACUCCGAUCGCGAAGGCAGGUGUCCGGGCUGCAACUGACGCUGAGGCUCGAAAGUGUGGGUAUCAAACAGGAUUAGAUACCCUGGUAGUCCACACAGUAAACGAUGUAUACUCGCGGUUUGCGAUACAAUGUAAGCCGCCAAGCGAAAGCAUUAAGUAUACCACCUGGGGAGUACGCCGGCAACGGUGAAACUCAAAGGAAUUGACGGGGGCCCGCACAAGCGGAGGAACAUGUGGUUU